UGGUUAAAAAUAUAACACCAUCACCAUCAAUUAUCAAGCAAGAACUCUGCUUCAAUUAAUUAUAGUAACCGGCCUGUCUUAGAAACAAUUUUCUGCAACCAAUUAAAAAUGACAGAGGAGAUGCAAUGAAAUGUAAGCUAUAUGAAUUCCUUCAUAGGAAUGUGUUGUUACUUAUAUGAAUAGGAGAAGAUCCAGAGCACAUCUGACAGGAAAUAUGAUACGAUCUCUCUCCUGGUGCCCUCCGAACCAUCCUCAACUGCACAAGCAAGACAUAAGAUAUUAAGCAAUUUUACAAACACUUCAUCUUUAUAAAUUCAAUGAGUACUCUCUAGCAUAUACUUUGAAAAGAAGAGGUCUUGUUCAUCAUUUCACAAAACCUGCAUAUUAGUAUAGCAAGCAAAGGCAUGCAAAAUACUGGACAUGUUUUGGUUCAUGCACAGAAGCAGAGAAAUAGCAAGAUCUAGAAAAACAGCGCAAGAGUAAUCUUGACAACGCCAUCUCAAAGAAAGACCAGAUGAGGUGAAGAAAAAAAAAUGAUGUAUCUGGAGCAAUUGUUUUCCUCUAGUUACCAUUUGAUUCAAUAUUUUGUCCAAUCUCAAAAUCUAAGAUAUGCCCGUAUCCAAUUAUUAAUAAGUUAACUUGCAACUCUUGGCACAAAACAUGAGCAGCUUGAUAAUAGAAGAGCCCUCAAUUGUCCGCUUUUGAUGAAGGGAAAUCAAUUAGUUUUAAAAUACAUGGGAAAAGUUGAUGUUAAUAACUAAUGUUUCUGCUGAAAUAAAGUAGUCCACAAUAUGGGAAGCAAAAAAAAUGGCAUGAAGGAACACUUGCCGCUUUCACACCCAGUAAAAGUAGUAAUGAUGUAGAAACCGAUGGAAUUCUUUUCUUCUUGUACUCAGUAUUGAUCUCACUUGAUUCAGUUUUGGAAAACGAUUUGCCGGAAGUGGCGUAAGUAUCUGGUAACAAAUUGAAAGAUCAAUAAAUAUGCACCAGUUGACCAUAUAACUUUCCAAAAGAAGAACAAGAUGAUUUAUUCCUGUAGUGACUAUUGCAGAAGAAUAUAGCCGAACAAAAGAACUCAUAUCAGAAGUUAAAUAGACACCCAUGUCAGGUUCAUAAACUGUGAUGCUAGCUUUUGGUCAUUUUCUUGUUUCACGAGCACAAUUAUUCGGUUGUUGUAUCAUAUUACUGAGAGGACAAGGAAAAUCAUGCUCGCCAAUUCUUUUCAUCCGAACAACCAUAAAUAUUGUUUGAAACCUAAAAGCACACGGUAAAGAAUUGAUUGAAAGAAACUUGGAGAACAAAAAUCUAAUUAGAGGACAUGCUACCUUAUUUGCUGAUUUAAUCUCAGAUGAGUUGGUUUCUUUAUCAAUACUGUAAUUGUUGCUUUCACAAGAUGCAACAGAAGCACCAUUUACUCUUGAAAGAAGAUUUUGAUUUGAUCCAUUCAUGUUGUUGAUACAGUAAUAGAUUAGUAUCAAGAAUAUAGCUAUCAGUUGUUGCAAAGGAUGACUCUCAUACAGUGUCAAAAUUCAUGUCAAGCAGCUGUCUGUCACCCCUUGGAAGAAGUGAAUUCAGGUUACUCAAGAAUCGUCGGAACCAAAAUCAGACAACGCAAAACUGAAACAGAACCGCCAGUUCAAGGUCAGCGGGAGCGGGGGUGUGGCGGCGGCCAUGCCCGAGUC
Molecule: long non-coding RNA, 1682 nt
Filed under: Triticum aestivum (bread wheat)
Lineage: Eukaryota; Viridiplantae; Streptophyta; Magnoliopsida; Poales; Poaceae
Description: long non-coding RNA (TAES_LNC005162)
Source: RNAcentral